UUUGAUAUUGACAUUUUAGAUAGUUCAAAAAAAAGUAAUGUUUGAAAUCGAGCAAAAAAACAAAAACAUGCAAUCAACAGUUUUCCUUUACUUUCGGACCUUGGGGUGGACCUUGAGAUACACAAAAUUCCCCAAUCAAUCAAUCAAUCAGUCCAUUGGUCAGUCAGUCUGGCCAAGCAGUUUUAUAUAUAAAUGUUGAGCUGUGCCUUUCAUUUCGCUUGCUUAACUAUUUAUGAGCUAGCAAUCCCUGGAACGCAGUGCGUCUUUAUUUGUGCUGCUACUUUGCUGCCCUCUGGGCGUUAAAUUGACUUGGCUUAGGCUCACACACUACACACACACAAACACUCACGCACUCGCACACUCUGUUAUUCGCACACACGUGGGACUCACGCAUGGCCGCAUCUGGACAGGCAUCUGCUCAGCCGAGUUACCUUGGAGAUGGCAGCGAACAGAUUUCUGCAGCGUCAUUAAAAUGAAACUGGGGUGGCGGCAUAAGGAACGCAAAUAAUCAUUUAAUUGCAGCUGGAUUCUCAGCUCUAUUCCCCCAAUGCUAGCCCAAAGUUAGCCAGCAAAACGUGGCCCAUAAAUAGCAACAACUUGGCAAGGAAUUGAAAGCACUUGAAUACAUUUAAGUUAUGUAAGAUUUAUAGUCGAAUGACACUAGCUGAAAUCAAGCAAAUUCAUUAACCUGGCUUGUGUCUUGGCACAAAUAAUUUAUUGUUCAAUUUUGA
Molecule: long non-coding RNA, 731 nt
Organism: Drosophila virilis
Lineage: Eukaryota; Metazoa; Arthropoda; Insecta; Diptera; Drosophilidae
Source: RefSeq, a predicted model, not a curated record